Molecule: long non-coding RNA, 1674 nt
Organism: Gasterosteus aculeatus aculeatus (three-spined stickleback)
Lineage: Eukaryota; Metazoa; Chordata; Actinopteri; Perciformes; Gasterosteidae
Source: Ensembl
UAAUUAACGGAGGGUCGAGAGUUCUUUUGUUGGUUCUAUUCAGUGAAAAGCGACGUGCCGUCGGCGUUGGUCCUCGUCCAUCACGUCACUUGCUCCUACGCGUCUUUCGCUCCGUGGAUGGAGACAAAGGCAUCGUGUCCACUGACGGAGGAGGACGAACAGACACAACAACAACAUCUGGAGUUCAUUAAUGAAUCUCAUGACUGAAUAUUCUCUGUAAAAACGUUGUUAAACUGGACUUUACAGAACAAAUAAAGGACCAACAAAUUGCCUUUCAAAUUGUAUUUAAUGAAUGACUCAAUCAUCCUUGCAAGUUGCGUUAUGUUUGGAGGAGACGAAGCUCGUAAAUGACACAAAGACAAAUUAAAGAUAUUAAACCUCUCAGACAGCAAACCUUAUACUAAUGAUUAUUACACACAUUUGUACUCUUUUCUCACCUCAAUAGCAGAUUUCUAUUUUAUUUUAUGAUCAUAAUCCGAUGUGUCACAUGAACUGAAUUUCUUUCACUGCGAUCAGCAGUUUAAAUACAAAGAUCAGAAAUCCAUUGGACCAGCAGAAUGAUAAUAUAUAUAUAUUUGUAUAUUUGGCUAUUUGUUAUUUAGUGUUACUUUCGACCAAAUUUGAAACGCCGACAGUCCCCAUGUGCAUGGCUAGCUAUGCCGCGUUAGCGUUAGCUAACGUUAAGUUGUCUCCUUUUUGCAACUUGCCAGAUAACCUGCCGAUGUGAAGGGUGAGUUAUUGUUAAUGACGAGGUAAUGUGUUAGCAAUAUAUUCCAUGGUGUUCACAACUAGCUAACGUUUACUAAGAAAUAAAUGCUAAUGCUGUUAGCAUACUCUUUGUAGAGUCCAAUUAGCGUGCUGCCGCUUAGCUAAACUGCUGAAUUUGAAUGAAAAUAAAUGACUAAGCACGCGUUUCAAUAUUUCACUGUGUUGUCUUCAUACAGGAUCAAGAAACACCAACAUGAGAAAUGAUGAGCUGAAGCAUCCGUUGAAUCAGCUUCUGAUUUAUCUGGAUCUUCUGAGUCAAGUUCUUCAUCUUCUACCAACUCCUUCUCAGACUGUUCUUCCUCUCCGAGCUCCUCAAGCUCGGAGAAUGUAAAGAAGAGGAUGAAGAAGUCAAAGAAGAAGAAGGGAAAGAAAGUAACAAGAGAGAGAGGAAGCAAAAAGAUCAGACGGAGCCGUGUUUCAAGGGCACGUGGUCCAGAUGAGGCCUACAAGAAGAAGCAUACAAUUGCCUUGAAUGCACCAUUUGUCACUGUCUUAUUUUUUAGUUUUCUGCCACUCGUGUCCCCGGGUAACUUCACUUCCUGCCUUGUCCUGUCGUCCCCUGUCAUUGUCUGAGCGUUUCCACCUGUGUCCAAUCACCUGCACCUCCCUAGUGUAUUUAAGCCGUGUGUCUCUUGUGUCACUUGUCGCGUCAUUGUCGAACGUCCUGGAUGUGUCUAGUCCGUGCCUGCUUUUUUGCCCUGGUUCCUGUGUGUUUUUGCCCCUUGGCCUUUUACUUUUGGUAUUUUGGACUAUUAAAGUCUAUUUUGUUACUCGAACUCUGCAUUUGAGUCCUGCCUUCCCACGCACCCCUGACACCAAUUGCUGAGAUUUCCAUUGCGGCCCCUGAAAAGUUUGCGGAGUUUAAGGAUCAGCAUACAACAAAGCACAAGCUCUGUAGGAUUUCAC